RNAcentral lists this ribosomal RNA (618 nucleotides) under uncultured bacterium. RNAcentral describes it as "bacterial SSU rRNA". It matches the Rfam family "Bacterial small subunit ribosomal RNA", at positions 239 to 858 of the family's 1533-position model. The record is from RNAcentral.
UACCAGCUUGUUGGCGGGGUAACGGCCCACCAAGGCGGUGACGGGUAGCUGGUCUGAGAGGAUGGCCAGCCACAUUGGGACUGAGAGACGGCCCAGACUCCUACGGGAGGCAGCAGUGGGGAAUCUUGCGCAAUGGCCUAACGGCUGACGCAGCGACGCCGCGUGUGGGAGGACGCCCUUCGGGGUGUAAACCACUGUUGCCCGGGACGAAUGCCCCCUUGGGGGGAGUGACGGUACCGGGUGAGGAAGCACCGGCUAACUCCGUGCCAGCAGCCGCGGUAAUACGGAGGGUGCGAGCGUUGUCCGGAAUCACUGGGCGUAAAGGGCGCGUAGGCGGCUUGACAAGCGUGUGGUGAAAGCCCGGGGCUCAACCCCGGGUCGGCCGUGCGGACUGUCGAGCUGGAGCACUGUAGAGGCGGGUGGAAUUCCGGGUGUAGCGGUGGAAUGCGUAGAGAUCCGGAAGAACACCGGUGGCGAAGGCGGCCCGCUGGGCAGUAGCUGACGCUGAGGCGCGACAGCGUGGGGAGCAAACAGGAUUAGAUACCCUGGUAGUCCACGCCGUAAACGAUGGGCACUAGGUGCUUGGGGGAGCGACCCUCCGAGUGCCGGCGCUAACGC